GACGAACGCUGGCGGCGCGCCUAACACAUGCAAGUCGAACGGAGCUGCGAGAAGCUUGCUUUUCUUAGCUUAGUGGCGAACGGGUGAGUAACGCGUGAGUAACCUGCCCUGGAGUGGGGGACAACAGUUGGAAACGACUGCUAAUACCGCAUAAGCCCACGAUCCGGCAUCGGAUUGAGGGAAAAGGAUUUAUUCGCUUCAGGAUGGACUCGCGUCCAAUUAGCUAGUUGGUGAGGUAACGGCCCACCAAGGCGACGAUUGGUAGCCGGACUGAGAGGUUGAACGGCCACAUUGGGACUGAGACACGGCCCAGACUCCUACGGGAGGCAGCAGUGGGGGAUAUUGCGCAAUGGGGGAAACCCUGAUGCAGCGACGCCGCGUGGAGGAAGAAGGUUUUCGGAUUGUAAACUCCUGUCGUGAGGGACGAUAAUGACGGUACCUAACAAGAAAGCACCGGCUAACUACGUG
This 468-nucleotide ribosomal RNA is filed under the name uncultured bacterium. Its description in RNAcentral is "partial 16S ribosomal RNA". It matches the Rfam family "Bacterial small subunit ribosomal RNA", at positions 28 to 507 of the family's 1533-position model. The record is from RNAcentral.